Arvicanthis niloticus (Nile rat) is the source of this 541-nucleotide long non-coding RNA. RefSeq lists it as uncharacterized. The record is from RefSeq and is a predicted model, not a curated record. Lineage: Eukaryota; Metazoa; Chordata; Mammalia; Rodentia; Muridae.
AGAAAAAUGAAGUGUGUUAACAUUCGAUGCUCGAAAAACAUGGCCAGAAGAAAGCCAGGAAGAGACCGUGAUGAGUCCACUCCAGGGCAGAAGUGGGUGCAGGCCUGUGAGGCCCUGGCUGCCAGAUUCCAGAGCAAAGGGAAGCAGUUGCUGCAGAUCGCAUUUGAUUAUGGAUAAUUGAAGGCCAAGAAGAGUUGGAACUGGGCGAAUGCCCCAGAACUAAUCCCUUUCAAAAGGACAGAGAAAAAAAUUACCAACCUCUGCUCCAGAGCAGCGACAACAGUCGUGGAAAUCUAUGAAUGGGAUGGAGAGUCAUUGAGGAUGCAAGAUCAACAGUGUGGCAGGAGACAGAGCAGGAAGGGGAUCUUGUUUCUCUCACAUCCCCUACCCCUACCUACAUUACCAUACAGCCCAGGAGGUUCCUCUAGCUUGCACCAAGUAUGGCAAGCUGCUAUAAUUCCCCUUCACCAUGAUGGAUGCAGUAAGAGGCUCUGGACAGAUGCUGGUACUCUGUGGAUUUUCAAGAUUAUGGAAAAUAAAU